This 388-nucleotide long non-coding RNA is filed under the name Callithrix jacchus (white-tufted-ear marmoset). Its description in RNAcentral is "lncRNA (ENSCJAG00000058624.2)". Lineage: Eukaryota; Metazoa; Chordata; Mammalia; Primates; Cebidae. The record is from RNAcentral.
UUUAAACUCUCCUUCUGGAACAGAACUACCCUAUAGGCAGUAUGCCCAGAGUAGCCUUUUUUAUUUUUAUUUUCUGAGACAAGAGUCUUGCUCUGUCACCCAGGCGGGAGUUCGGUGGCAUGAUCACAGUUCACUGCAGCCUCAAUCAGCCUCCUGAGUAGCUGGGACUACAGGCAUGCACCAUCAUACCUGGCUAAUUUUUUAAAUUUUUAGUAGAGACGAGGUUUUGCUAUAUUCUCCUGGCUGGUCUUCCACUCCUGACCUCAAGCAAUCUUCCCACCUCAGCCUCCCAAAACGCUAGGAUUACAGGUGGAGAAGAAAAUCACAAAGGUAAAAAAACCCCUUCAAAGAAAUUCAAGAAAAAAACCUCGAUCACCUCCUUCCUGCU